This 672-nucleotide ribosomal RNA is filed under the name uncultured archaeon. RNAcentral describes it as "bacterial SSU rRNA". It matches the Rfam family "Archaeal small subunit ribosomal RNA", at positions 1 to 653 of the family's 1478-position model. The record is from RNAcentral.
UUCCGGUUGAUCCUGCCGGACCCCACUGCUAUCGAGAUGGGGCUAAGCCAUGCUAGUUGAACGACCCGAACUAUGGCGGGAAGUGGCACACUGCUCAGUAACACGUAGCUAACCUACCCUUUGGACGGGUACAACCCCGGGAAACUGAGGUUAAUACCCGAUAGGUGUGGAUUCCUGGAAUGGUACCACGCCCAAAAGUAACGCGCCCAUGUGUGCGUCUACGCCAAAGGAUGGGGCUGCGGCCGAUCAGGCAGUUGGUGAGGUAACGGCUCACCAAACCUUUGACCGGUACGGGCCAUGAGAGUGGUAGCCCGGAGAUGGGCACUGAGACAAGGGCCCAGGCCCUACGGGGCGCAGCAGGCGCGAAACCUCCACAAUUCACGAAAGUGAGAUGGGGUUAUCUCGAGUGCCGCCUGAUGAAGGCGGCUUUUCCACUGUGUAAUAAGCCGUGGGAAUAAGAGGGGGGCAAGACUGGUGUCAGCCGCCGCGGUAACACCAGCCCCUCGAGUGGUGGGGAUGAUUAUUUGGCCUAAGGCGUCCGUAGCUGGCUCCGUAAAUCUCUCGUUAAAUCCAACGUCCUAAGCGUUGGGCUGCGAGAGAGACUGCGAAGCUAGAGGGUGGGAGAGGUCAGCGGUAUUCCUGGGGUAGGGGCGAAAUCCAUUGAUCCCAGGA